UCCAAGGCUAAAUACUACCUAGUGACCGAUAGCGUAUAGUACCGUGAGGGAAAGGUGAAAAGAACCCCGGGAGGGGAGUGAAAUAGAACCUGAAACCCUGCACUUACAAGCUGUGGAAGCACAUUUCUUGUGUGACCGCGUACUUUUUGUAGAACGGGCCAACGAGUUACGUUAAGUAGCAAGGUUAAGCACUUAAGGUGCGGAGCCGUAGCGAAAGCGAGUUUUAACUGAGCGUUCAGUUACUUGACGUAGACCCGAAACCGGGCGACCUACCCAUGAGCAGGAUGAAGCGAAAGUAAAAUUUCGUGGAGGUCCGAACCCACGAGCGUUGAAAAGCUCGGGGAUGACUUGUGGGUAGCGGUGAAAUUCCAAUCGAGCCCGGAGAUAGCUGGUUCUCCCCGAAAUAGCUUUAGGGCUAGCCUCAAGGUGAGAGAUACGGAGGUAGAGCACUGAAUGUCCUAGGGGGUAUUGCACCUACCGAAGACUAUCAAACUCCGAAUGCCGUCAUCUUAUACUUGGGAGUCAGACUGUGGGUGAUAAGAUUCAUAGUCGAAAGGGCAACAGCCCAGAUCGUCAGCUAAGGUCCCUAAAUGUAAGUUAAGUGGUAAAGGAUGUGGGAUUGCACAGACAACCAGGAUGUUGGCUUAGAAGCAGCCACUCAUUCAAAGAGUGCGUAAUAGCUCACUGGUCGAGUGAUCCUGCGCCGAAGAUUUCCGGGGCUAAAACUUACUACCGAAGCUACGGCAUCAGUAAUGAUGGGUAGGGGAGCUUCCCAUACGGGUUGAAGCAUGACCGUAAGGACAUGUGGACAGUAUGGGAGUGAGAAUGUUGGCAUGAGUAGCGAGAUGUGGGUGAGAAGCCCACAGGCCGUAAACCCAAGGUUUCCAGGGGAAGGUUCGUCCGCCCUGGGUUAGUCGGGACCUAAGCUGAGGCCGAAAGGCGUAGGUGAUGGACAACAGGUUGAUAUUCCUGUACUACCGAUAACCGUUUGAGAGAAGGGAUGACACAGUAGGAUAAGCUAAGCACACUGUUGGUUAUGUGUGCCCAAGCAUUGAGGCAGUCAAAGUAGG
Molecule: ribosomal RNA, 1070 nt
Filed under: Clostridioides difficile
Lineage: Bacteria; Bacillati; Bacillota; Clostridia; Peptostreptococcales; Peptostreptococcaceae
Description: partial 23S ribosomal RNA
Rfam family: Bacterial large subunit ribosomal RNA
Source: RNAcentral